This is an RNA transcript of Apis dorsata (giant honeybee), 1505 nucleotides long. It is a transcript of the gene named tRNA N(3)-methylcytidine methyltransferase METTL6, with no coding region annotated. NCBI's taxonomy places the organism in Eukaryota, Metazoa, Arthropoda, Insecta, Hymenoptera, Apidae. The transcript is spliced from 7 exons. The record is from RefSeq and is a predicted model, not a curated record.
CGCAUGUUCUUCUCGUCCAUUUCCUUUUGGAACUCGAAGGUGGGAGGUCGGUUUGUAACGCAGUUCUCGGUUUGCAAUCGUUGCUUCAUACUCGCGUAAAUGUUUCAAUUAAUUACGACAAAACGAAUUUACAUAUUCGAUAAGAUUGUUAAAUCGCUUUUAUUCCGCGAUACGUUAAAUUUUUGUCACAACGUAAUUCGAGAAAAUGGCUGAAUCAAUAAAGAGUGAGUACGCAAGCCACGUGGCGAAGCAACUUACCGAAGAAGAAAUUGUAAAGAUGCAGGCGCAAAAUUCGCGAUUAGUUUCCGAAUUUCGAGCCAAUCAGUUGGAAAAAGACGCGAAAAAACAUUGGGACUUAUUUUACAAACGAAACGAUACAAGAUUCUUUAAGGACAGACAUUGGACUACCAGAGAAUUUAACGAAUUAUUGGAUUUGAGUACGAAAAAUGAACAAAAUGUUCUUUUUGAAGUCGGUUGCGGUGUUGGAAAUUUUAUAUAUCCCUUGAUCGAGGAUGGAUUGAAAUUUAAAAUGAUAUUCGCGUGUGAUCUCUCUUCUAGAGCCGUGGAACUAACAAAGAAUCAUUCGUUGUACGAUCCAGAGAACAUGAAAAUUUUUCAAACGGAUAUUACAACAGAAAAUUGUUUUUUGGAGGUGGACUGUCCGGUCAACAUUGCAACGUUAAUAUUCGUUUUAUCGGCUAUUCAUCCGAAAAAGUUCAGAAAAGUCGUGGAGAAUUUAUAUAACGUUCUCGAUAAAGGAGGAAUCGUGCUUUUUAGAGAUUAUGGUUUAUACGAUAUGGCUCAACUAAGAUUUAAACCUGGUCACAAGAUUAGUGAAAACCUUUAUAUGAGACAGGAUGGUACCAGGACAUAUUAUUUUUCAGAGAAAGAAGUGUCAAACUUAUUUCAAUCGGUUGGCUUUGAAGUACUAACGUGUAACUACGUACAAAGACGAACUGUAAAUUUCAAAGAAAAGAUCGACGUACCUAGAAUUUUUGUUCAAGGAAAAUUUAUAAAAUUCUAGUAAUAAUGAAAAAGUUUCAUGGAUCAGUGAAUUGAAGUAUUAUUGCAGCUUUAAUUAAAAGCUAAGCACUGGAUUUAAAACUAUAAUAAUAGUUAAAGGAUGCUGGUACAAGAAGAACUGAAUAUUUUAAAUACGAAAAACUAAAUAUAAAUCUUCAAUCAUAGGUAAAUAACUAUUUCAUUUUAAAAAAUCAAACAUUAUUGAUAAAAAAAUAUUUAAAUUAUUUUAUUACAAUGAUGUAAAACAUUUGCAAUGAUUCGAUGAUUACAUUCCAUUAGCUCUAUCUGAAAGUUAAAUUUCUUUUUCUAUUCACAAAAUAGAAAAAGAUAACUGGUAAACAACGCAUUUUUAUAUUCCAGGUUAUAAAGAAGAAUUUUACCAUAUGAAAUGUGUAAUAUUUGCAAAAUAUAUUUUAUUAAUAUAGUAUAAUUUAUAAUAAAUAAAAUUUGUAAUUUCUAAUAAAUAAAAUUUAACACAAUUU